RNAcentral lists this ribosomal RNA (752 nucleotides) under uncultured bacterium. RNAcentral describes it as "bacterial SSU rRNA". It matches the Rfam family "Bacterial small subunit ribosomal RNA", at positions 8 to 796 of the family's 1533-position model. The record is from RNAcentral.
AGAGUUUGAUCAUGGCUCAGAAUCAACGCUGGCGGCGCGCUUAACACAUGCAAGUCGCACGAGAAAGGGAGCAAUCCUAAGUAAAGUGGCGCACGGGUGAGUAACACGUGGAUCAUCUACCUUUUAGUGGGGAAUACCUCUGGGAAACCGGAGACAAUACCGCAUAAGCCCGCAAGGGGAAAGCAGCAAUGCGCUGAAAGAGGAGUCCGCGGCCGAUUAGCUAGUUGGCGGGGUAAUGGCCCACCAAGGCGAAGAUCGGUAGCCGGCCUGAGAGGGCACACGGCCACACUGGCACUGAAACACGGGCCAGACUCCUACGGGAGGCAGCAGUGGGGAAUCUUGCACAAUGGGCGAAAGCCUGAUGCAGCGACGCCGCGUGAGCGAUGAAGCCCUUCGGGGUGUAAAGCUCUUUCGACGGGAACGAUAAUGACGGUACCCGGAGAAGAAGCUGCGGCUAACUACGUGCCAGCAGCCGCGGUAAUACGUAGGCAGCGAGCGUUGUUCGGAAUUACUGGGCGUAAAGAGUGUGUAGGCGGUGCUCCCAGUCUGUUGUGAAAUCUCCCGGCUUAACUGGGAGGGUGCAGCGGAAACUAGAGUGCUAGAGGGUGGGAGAGGUAAGCGGAAUUCCUGGUGUAGCGGUGAAAUGCGUAGAUAUCAGGAGGAACACCUGGUGUAGACAGCUUACUGGACCACUUCUGACGCUGAGACACGAAAGCGUGGGUAGCAAACAGGAUUAGAUACCCUAGUAGUCC